AGAAAGAAAGGGAGAGAGAAGAGAGAAGGAGAAAGAGGUGCACCUUUUCUGUCCCAGGUGCACAGGACCACCUCGUACUUUAGAAAGGGGCAACAUCAGAUACUAGAAUCUCUUGGUAUACUGGGUAACAAAGUAGCCAGGAGAUGGGGAGUGGAGGGGGAUGCUACUGGAAGUAGUGAGGAAGGACAUCGUGAGGACAGAGUUCUAGCUACAUAAAUUUCUUGUCAGAAGUAUCCUAAGCGAACACACCUACCCCUCCACACCACACAGCUUAACCUGACCUUCCCGGAACACACUCAGAACACUGACAUUAGCCUACAGUUGGGGGAAAUCGUCCAACACAAUGCUUAAUUUCUAAUGCAGCACUAGACACCUCCUGUGGCCGACUAGAAACUGAACCGCUGCCACUGACCAGCCAUUACACAUCCUGCUAAAAAUUCACAAUUCAAGUACAGUUUCUACUACAUGGGUAUCACAUUAUACCAUCUUUAAAAACCAUUAAGUCAAACAAAAAAAAUUGUAAAUCCUCAAGUACACAGGGGAGUUCUGAGCAGAAAGAGCAGCCCAUGAAAAACCCAGAAGCCAAGGUAAACCUGGGGUUUUGUAGGAAAGUAGCAGAGCCAGCAGGGCCCUGCACAGGGAGCAGAAAAUAGGAGACAAAGGGGCCAGGUGCUGGCAGGAAAUACAUCAGGGCUUUGUAAGGCCUUUGCCUUUUCCCUGGGUAGGAAUGGGGACUUUGCUGCAGAGUUCUAUGCAAAGGAAGAGCAUGAUACAACUUCAAUUUUUAGAAAUAAUCAUUCUGGCCACCAUGUGGGAACAUAUGCAAGAGGACCACUGGUUUAAAAAGAAAAUAGAGAGAACAAUGAGGAGACCCCAUGAUAACCCAUACUGGACACAACACUGAACUGGACCAAAAGGCAUGGGAAGUGGUCAAGUUCUGGAUCUGCUCUGAAGGUAAAGUCCACACUGGCAGAAUGACUGGGUGCAGGGUUGGCAAGAGGAGGGAAGGAGGAGUCAAAAGUUUUUAGGGAGGAUGGAGUAGCCAUGAACGAUGGGGAAACUGAGGAGGACCAGUGGGAGAGGUGGUGUUCUGUUUGUUUGGAGAGAACAAGAGCAAUUCUUUAAUAGUGAUGUGUUCUCCAUACCUCUUCUCUACUUCCAGUUCCCCAAAAAGAAGGGUUUCUCCCUCAACACUCCUGGCUUCAGUGUGCCACCCCACAUGCUGCUUCCUUCGGGAAGAGUGACCUCUCUUACACAUGCGUCUGCUCCUCUUCCCAGAAGUUUACAGGGGACACUGCCACUGCUGCCCCAACCACCACCACCCCACCACCAUCACCCCACCACUCAAGCAUAUUAUUGAGGAAACCAGCGUCCUGGGCGCCCAGGGCCGCUUGUGACUGGUAGAUGUAUCUACUGAAUCUCAAGUCAUCAGGAAGCUGAGGUUGCCCACACCUAAGCCACUUCCUCCACCAGCCUCUAUCAGUAAUAAUGAUGACAUUUUCAUCUCUACAUUCUUCACCACUGUGCCUCUCUCUUAAGCAGUUCAGAAAUCUGGGGGGGG
Perognathus longimembris pacificus (Pacific pocket mouse) is the source of this 1561-nucleotide long non-coding RNA. RefSeq lists it as uncharacterized. NCBI's taxonomy places the organism in Eukaryota, Metazoa, Chordata, Mammalia, Rodentia, Heteromyidae. The record is from RefSeq and is a predicted model, not a curated record. The transcript has 2 exons.